RNAcentral lists this ribosomal RNA (228 nucleotides) under uncultured bacterium. RNAcentral describes it as "partial 16S ribosomal RNA". It matches the Rfam family "Bacterial small subunit ribosomal RNA", at positions 568 to 795 of the family's 1533-position model. The record is from RNAcentral.
UGCGCAGGCGGAAUGAUAAGUCAGUGGUGAAAGCCUACAGCUUAACUGUAGAAAUGCCAUUGAUACUGUCGUUCUUGAGUACAGUUGAAGUGGGCGGAAUGUGUCAUGUAGCGGUGAAAUGCAUAGAUAUGACACAGAACACCGAUAGCGAAGGCAGCUCACUAAGCUGAAACUGACGCUCAGGCACGAAAGCGUGGGGAGCAAACAGGAUUAGAUACCCUGGUAGUC